RNAcentral lists this long non-coding RNA (7177 nucleotides) under Oryza sativa (Asian cultivated rice). RNAcentral's name for it is "long non-coding RNA (OSAT_LNC000882)". The record is from RNAcentral. Lineage: Eukaryota; Viridiplantae; Streptophyta; Magnoliopsida; Poales; Poaceae.
CUCCUACAUAUGUAUGGUCCAAUUUAGUAAACAGAAGUCGCUUGAGGAUCAUGCACAAGGCAUCGGAAUACAGAUAAAAAAUUUGAAAAUGGUGUUUAAAUGUGAUUUUAAGUUCUUUACACUUAGCUUCUCACAACAUAAUAUCCUGAAUUGCCUCAAUUCAACCAUUUAUGACGGUUUUCAGUCAUACUUUAUGCUUGUCAAAGGUGGUCUUCUGGAACAUCUCUUUUAGGACACCACAUACUGACAUACAUUUAUGAAAAAGAAGUGCUGCAUCAAAAUUGACAUCGGAAACCUCUACUUUUGGCCUAAAUUAGCGUGCCUUUGAGUUCCUUACAGUUAAAAAGGGCAGGUCUAGUAUAUCUUCAUAGUCUAGACGUAAAUAAGAUUCAACAAAUUAACUUAGUAGUAUAGACUAUAUAAUUGUACUGUUUAAUAUUAGAGUAUAUGGUAGUUAGAGUCAUAUUAGGAUAUGAUUGAUUUAUGUGGAUUUUUUCCAUAUCUGUAAUCCUUCCUUAUCUCAUGUAUCUAUAUACUGGCCCCUGAGGCUCUAAUACCAUGUUAAAUAUAAUACUUCCUUAUCUCUACCCUAUUUAUUUCCUAUAUAUGCGGGCUCCUAAGGCUCAAUAGAAUGUGUCCAAUAUUCGCAGUAAUCUCCUCUUCCUAUACUAUUCAACAUUUAUUUACCUGAUCAUUUUUGCUGAACCAAAUCCAAGACUGUCAUGAAAUAGGCUUGUCAUGUACUUCUUCUGUGCAAGGCACAAAAGCUCUGAGCUGUUGUAUAUAGGGGGCAGGUAUGCUUCCCCAUUCCCAUCUUUGUGUUUAUUCCAUAAUUCGACAAACUUCUUGUGGAACAAAUUCCAUGAAUCUUCAAUUGUCUUCAAGAUCCAUUUCUUGUAAGCCUGAAAAAUAUGUACAGUCAUAUAACUUAUUUUAUGCCCCGUGAUACAUCAUGAAAAUACCUUCUAAAAUCUAGAUGCUGCCAUUGCACUUUGCCAUAUAACUUGUCAUUUCUGCAGUUCCCAUUACUCAGGGACAUUCAAGUGAUGAGUAAGGCAAGUUAUUCAACUUAUUGUCUGCCGAGCACCCUCCUCCCUCUGUUACAUACGGCAUAUCUCAACAAUAUCAAUUGCUAAUUAUUCUAUAGGAUACAAGUACACAGGAAGACAUGUGGUUGCCAUUAUCUUAGCAAACGCAAAACAACUUAACCACCCAAAAAGAAAAACUAUCUUUUUGUCACAUAAAAAAAAAAGAGGACAUUUGUGGACCAGGUAAAAGUACACACUUUCAUUUACUAUUAUUAGCCAAUAAAUCCAUACAUACCUUACGAUCAUUUGCUUGAUCAGCGUGUCCAUCUUGUGAAAAAUAUGCCAAAAUCAAGUUCCCCAGGAAGGCCCCAAUGUCGUAACCCAUUGGGCCAUAGAAAGCAAAUUCUGGAUCAAUCACUUGAGUAGAAUCUGGUGUCACCAUGAUGGAACCAGUGUGGAGAUCUCCAUGAAGAAGAGCCUGUGCUCUCUCAAUAAACCUGCAUAUGCAAAUCAUGUCCAUCAUCUCCAAUAUGAAAAGAAAAGAAAAGCGCUGGUUUAAUCUGGAAAGAUAGUUACAUUGAUUUCAAUUCAGCAAUCUCCAAUUUAAGCUCAGCAUCCUCUCGAACCGCUGCAGCAUCAUUAUCUAGGAAGGGUGAUGUGCAACGAUUGUAUUUGGCGAGCAUGUAUGGGUCUGAGAACACGACUUGCUCUGUGAGCCUACACAUCUCCACAUUAUCGCAGUACUGAGCAACUGCAGUUCACAGAACACAAACAUUCCAUCAAUUUGGUUAUCAUUUUUCUCCCUUUUCAUAGUCACAGAACACAACAUUCUAUCAAUUUGGUUCUCAUUUUUCUCCCUUUUCACAGGCAAACCAAACCUGUAUAAUAAAUCAACCAACCUCCUUUCUUGUGAUCAGUGGUGGAGUUGUAGAGAAGGGAGGUGAAGAAGAGCGUCUUGGCCAUGUAAUCCGCCAUGUGCUCGGCGAGCAGCGGGUACUCGACGCCAGCGAUGAGGCCCUUGCGGAGGAUGAUGUGCGGCGGCUCGAUGUAGCGCAUCCCGAUCAGCGACAUGGCCCGGUCGAAGUGGUAGACCUCGGGGACAUGGUCCGGGCAGAGGCCGCGGUGCUUCUGCAGCGCGGAGGCCUCGAAGUAGGCGCGCUCCCUCGUCAUCGGCCACGAAUCCCCCACGCAGCGGAUGUACGGCAGCGCCUGGAUUGCAGCGUCGUCAGCGGAGGAACGGAGAGAGAAGAUGCGUACAUGUGUGGCGGCGGCGGCGCGUGGAGGAGAUAGGGACCUGCUUGAUGACGACGGAGCCGGCGUCGGAGAGGACGAUGUAGACGAAGUUGAGGUUGCCGUCGCCGACCUCCUUGAUGGUGAGGGCGUCGAGGCUGCCGCCGAGGCGCGCGGCGAGGGCGGGCGUGGCCUUGAUGUAGGCCACCAGGGACGCCUCGUCGAGCGGGCGGAAGCCCUGCUGCUGCUGCUGCUGCUGCUGCUCCGCCGCCGCGGCCAUGGCCGGUGCGUGUGUGGCCGUGGCGUCGAGUUGACCGAUGCGAGCGCCGGCGGCGAAGUGGCCGCGACCCGCGAGAGGAGUGGGGAAUCGAGUGCGCGUGUGUGGGAGGCUGCGCUGCGCGGAGGUGUGUGGGUUUUGUAACAGCUGCUGCUUUCGCGGAAGGGGGCGGUUCUCUGAACCUGGACUUGUUAUUGGUACAAGGCGGAUUCUUCAGUUGAGUCGUGUCAUCAGUGUGAGCUAAUCUUGAGGAGUUCAUGCUAUCUUUGAGUUUUCAAUCCAGGCCGUGUUUAGAUUCAAAAUUUUUUAAAUUUUUUUUAACUUUUUCAUCACAUCAAAUAUUUAGACACAUAUAUAGAGGAUUAAAUAUGAUGAAAAAAAACAAUUGCACAGUUUGUAUGUAAAUCGCGAGACGAAUCUUUUGAGCCUAAUUACACCAUGAUUUGACAAUGGGAUGCUACAGUAAAUAUUUGCUAAUAACGGAUUAAUUAGGCUUAAUAAAUUUGUCUCGCAGUUUACAGGCGGAAUCUGUAAUUUGUUUUGUUAUUAGUCUACGUUUAAUACUUCAAAUAUGUGUCUGUAUCCUUAAAAAAAUUGGCACACAAACUAAACACAUCCUAGUAUACUGCUAAUUUUGAACUGAAUGUGGCUUCUGGUCAUUGGAUUUGGUGAAUUUUCCUCUCUGUUCCAAAAUAUACCAUCAUUUAUGUUAUCUCUAUAUUACCACUCCAUCUGUUUCAUAUUGUAAAAAUUUUCUACAAUUGACCAUUGUUAAUGAAUCUAGACAUAACAUCCAUAUAAAUAUGGGUAAUGCUAGAAAAUUUUAUAAUAUGAAACGGAGAAAGUAUUAAAGUUGAGUCAUCCUCCGUUCAUCUCCUUCUCCCACCGCUCGUGCAGUCUAUUUGUCCGCUCCUUCUCAAAUCAUGUACACAACCUCCGUAUGAUACGGUACUUUAUCCUCAAUUACCUUCCUAGCCCUUUCUUACUCGUCUCAAUUGUAUGUUCGAUCUGUUAUAAUGCAUGAAUAUAUGUUGCUAAUAAAUCUGAAUAAGUGUUUGUUCACUUAUAGCAGUAUUUUAGGACGGAUGAAAUAAAUAAAAUUGUUUUCUCGAAAAAAUAAAAAAAAACUAAUGAAUCUUUCACUCAUGCUUCAGGCUACCAAUGGUGGUGUGCCUUCGGUUGAAGUUGGAAUUUUCUAGCAAAUCAACCAUAAUCGAAAUGUUCUCAUAUAGAUAUAUAGAAACAUGCCAUGCCUACAUAAUUUUUCUGAAAAAAACAGCUCUAAGAUAAGGACCAUAUAUUCAUUUGAUAGAAUGAAACGGUUACUAUGUUCGUUUGUGUGUUUAUUAGAAAAAGAAAUUUAUUGUGAUAUUUUAGAGGAUUACAAUUCACAAUUAUUGUGUCCCUUCAAUGAACUCUGCGAGUUGAUAAGGUAGCAUCCGAACGAUUAAUCAGUUGGUACGCAUGUUCCACGCUGUUCUUUUCAACAAACAGGGAGAAUAUAUCGACUGUGUUUGGCCCCAUACUUCGGCUUGAUGUCGCCGUCAAUGCUAGCAUCAUGUAUCUUCAAAAUGACAUCAUAUCCAAAUAAAAGCAGCAUGAAAGUGCCAGUCCUCCAUAUUAAACGGCAUGAAACUAGCUCACAAGACAAAAAUCAUUAUAGUAUUCUCAUGACCAAGCGAACCAUAGUGAGAAAGUUGACAAACUCUAUUAUAUUCACCGGAUGAACUAGAAUGUUCAAAGUAUAGAUAGGUCUUUUGGAGAACUUCUAGCAUGUACAGUUUCUUCCAAAAUCUCCAAUUCCCUAAAUAAUCAUAUUAUGAGAUUUUAUAGCUAUAGAAUCCAGAAAAAAAUGUGUAAAGUACACGGGCGGUCCUUAAACUUAUAGCGGUGUGUCAUCUAGGUCAUUAAACUCUCAAAAUGCAUAUCCAAGUCACAGAACUUGUCAUAGUGUGUCAUCUAGGUCCCAGAUCACCACAAAUCCUUCAGGAUCCUACGUGGUGCGGAUGUGGCAUGUCACACGAACAUGAUGUGGCAUAAUUUUGACUGACAAAUAGGACCCAUUUAAAAAUUUUAUUUCUUUCUUUUUUUUCUUCUCUUGCAUUUUCCUUUCUUCUCCUUUGUCUGUGACCCGAGCAAAAGAGAGGGGAAAAAAACAAGAAUAAGAAGAAAACAGAAAAGAAAAAGAAAAGAAGAAAAAAAAGGACAUGUCACGUCCAUGUGGCAGGUCACAUCAGCGCCACGUAGGAUCCAAGAGGGGAUGUGUCGAUUUGGGACCUAGAUGAUACACUUUGAUAAGUUCUAGGGCCUGGAUAUGCAUUUUGAGAGUUUGGGGGAUCUAGAUGACAUACCGCUACAAGUUUAAGUACCGCUCGUACACUUUACUCGAAAAAAAAUCUACGAGGAAGCUAAGGAAAACCUACUUUGUAGAUUAAAUUCUGAGAAAUGGAAAUCUAGUUGUGAGAGCAUAAAAAAGCAGGGAAAACCAGUUUUUUAGCUUUUAUUAAGAUUCUUUUGAAUCUAGAUAAAAAGUUAAAUUGUUUGGGGAAGCUUUUGCCAUUCAACCGACUGAUUCUUACAAACUUAGCCAAGUGGUGAAAAAAAAACAUCAAUCUUGCAGAGCGUCCACACUUGAGCAUGCAUAAUGUAUAGUAGAACUAGUCCAUAAAGAAUACAAUAUUUCAUUCAGCCACCUAACAACAUUGUAGAACUAGUCCAUAUCAAGCAAAUAGCAAAAGUCACCCAUAAACAUAUGAGUUGCCUAUAUAGAAUAAAAUAUAUUAUUUAUCUCUGCUUUCUCUCUCCUUCUAAUACUACUAACUACCUAUAUAUAUUACAUCCUUCGUUUCACAAUGUAAGUCAUUCUAGCAUUUCCCACAUUCAUAUUGAUGUCCAUGAAUCUAGAUAGAUAUAUAUGUCUAGAUUCAUUGACAUCAAUAUGAAUGUGGAAAAUGCUAGAAUGACUUACAUUGUGAAACGGAGGGAGUAUGAAGGUUACAAUAGGUAAAUCCCACAUAUGUGGGUCCAUCUGUAUGGACUACUUUGGCUAUAUACAUUGUUGUUGCCCAGCCCACAUAUAACCGGCCAAUUCUGCUUUAUAAUAGGCACAGAUAAUCGCUGAUGGUAAACAGAUGAAAACUUUUGUCUCCUCAAUCAGAAAGGUUGUGUAGAUGGUUAGCCUUAUCAGUCCCGAUCAAACGAUUGUACAUGCACAAUCACUUGCUCGAUGCUUUCAAACUGGCGUCUUCCCUUCAGGAUUGCCUUUGCACAAUUAAGGGCACGUCGCUCACACGAAGCUCUCUUGCUGGCAUCCUCAAUCGACUCAAAAUCCUCAACAUGAGCAAUUCCAACAAUUCUCCUACAUAUGUAUGGUCCAAUUUAGUAAACAGAAGUCGCGUGAGGAUCAUGCACAAGGCAUCGGAACACAGAUAAAAAAUUUGAAAAUGGCGUUUAAAUGUGAUUUUAAGUUCUUUACACUUAGCUUCUCACAACAUAAUAUCCUGAAUAGCCUCCAAUUUAACCAUUUAUGACGGUUUUCAGUCAUACUUAUAAUCGUCAAAGGUGGUCUUCUGGAACAUCUCUUUUAGGAUAGCACAUACUGAUAUACAUUUAUGAAAAAGAAGUGCUGCAUCAAAAUUGGCAUCGGAAACCUCUACUUUGGACUAACUUACUGUGCCUUUGAGCUUCUUACAUUUAAAAAGGGCAGGUCUAGUAUAUCUUCAUAGUCUAGACGUAAAUAAGAUUCAGCAAAUUGACUUAGUAGUACAGACUCUACAUAAUUGUACUGUUUAAUUACCUGAUCAUUUUUGCUGAACCAAAUCCAAGACUGUCAUGAAAUAGGCUUGUCAUGUACUUCUUCUGUACAAGGCUCAAAAGCUCUGAGCUGUUGUAUAUAGGGGGCAGGUAUGCUUCCCCAUUCCCAUCUUUGUGUUUAUUCCAUAAUUCGACAAACUUCUUGUGGAAAAAAUUCCAUGAAUCUUCAAUUGUCUUCAAGAUCCAUUUCUUGUAAGCCUGCAAAAUAUGUACAGACAUAGAACUUAUUUUAUGCCUGGCGAAACAUCAUGAAAAUACCUUCUAGAAUCUAGAUGUUGCAAUUGCACUUUGCCAUAUCAUAACUUGUCAUUUCUGCAGUUCCCAUUAAGUACUCCCUCCAUUUCAUAUUAUAAGUCGUUUGACUUUUUUCUUAGUCAAAGUUCUUUAGGUUUGACCAGAUUUAUAGAAAAAAAUUAGCAACAUUUACAACAGCAAAUUAGUUUAAUUAAAUUUAACAUAGAAUAUAUUUUGAUAAUAUGUUUGUUUUGUAUUGAAAAUGUUAUUCUAUUUUUCUACAGAUUUGGUUAAACUUAAAAAAAAUUGACUAAGAAAAAAAUCAAACAACUUAUAAUAUGAAACGGAGGGAGUAAUACUCAGGGACAUUCAUCGUCUGCUGAGCACCCUCCUCCCUCUGUUACAUACGGCAUAUAUCAACAAUAUCAAUUGCUAGUUAUUCUAUAGGAUACAAGUAUCAUGUUCCAAACUUCUAUCCUAUCGAAAUUAGUACACAGGAAGACAUGUGGUUGCCAUUAUCUUAGCAAACGCAAAACAACUUAACCACCCAGGUAAGAUUACGCACUUUCAUUUACUAUUAUUAGCCAAUAAAUCC